This 274-nucleotide ribosomal RNA is filed under the name uncultured bacterium. RNAcentral describes it as "partial 16S ribosomal RNA". It matches the Rfam family "Bacterial small subunit ribosomal RNA", at positions 523 to 796 of the family's 1533-position model. The record is from RNAcentral.
AUACGGAGGGGGCUAGCGUUGUUCGGAAUUACUGGGCGUAAAGCGUACGUAGGCGGACUGAUCAGUUGGGGUUGAAAUCCCAGGGCUUAACCCUGGAACUGCCUUCAAUACUGUCAGUCUUGAGAUUGGAAGAGGUGAGUGGAAUUCCUAGUGUAGAGGUGAAAUUCAUAGAUAUUAGGAGGAACACCAGUGGCGAAGGCGGCUCACUGGUCCAAUACUGACGCUGAGGUACGAAAGCGUGGGGAGCAAACAGGAUUAGAUACCCUAGUAGUCC